This 424-nucleotide long non-coding RNA is filed under the name Homo sapiens (human). RNAcentral's name for it is "non-protein coding lnc-SUFU-1:5". Lineage: Eukaryota; Metazoa; Chordata; Mammalia; Primates; Hominidae. The record is from RNAcentral.
UUUUCAAAUUCCCUUACCUGAGGAAGGAGCCCGAUUACAAGGAUAUUUACCUGCUCCUACCCUGAUCUAGAAGAGGAAGCUAAGGCCUGGGUUGGGUAACUGCCUGACGUUUUACUGUAAGUGCAUUGUGUGCCCAAGCUCAGGGUUGUCCCGUCUAGACCAUUAAAGUCACACAGUGCAAUUUAAGAAGACAAUGAGGCAAUCUCAGCACUUUGGGAGGCCGAGGUGGGUGGAUCACAAGGUCAGGAGAUCGAGACCAUCCUGGUGAAUGAAACCCCGUCUCUACUAAAAAUACAAAAAAUUAGCCGGGCGUGGCGGCGGGUGCCUGUGGUCCCAGCUACUCGGGAGGCUGAGGCAGGAGAAUGGCGUGAAUCCGGGAGGUGGAGCUUACAGUGAGCGGAGAUCUGGCUACUGCACUCCAGCC